GUUCUUGAGACUCGGCGAGUUGAGUCGUGGUGGCCCUGCGAUUCAUGCCAGUUGGAACUCGUCGAGUCAGGGAAGUACUCGACGUGUCAAAAGAGGAUCCUAGGGAGACAGUGAACACGUAUAAACUCGCCGAGUCGCUUUAGUGCACUCGCCGAGUCCGGUCAAAGUUGACCGUUGACCAUUGACCAGAGUUGACCACUGUUGACUUGAUAGGGGUAGUCAACCUUAGUUGAGAAAGUGUUAAUUCGAGAUAUAUUGUGUUAUAGGAGGAUUGUAGCUCGAAGGAUCGAGCGCGAGCGAUUUCCGGGAUUUGCGAGUUAUCGAGAUACGCGAGGUGAGUCUUCUCACUAUACUUUACCUUGAGUAGGUAAUCAGAGUUAUGUGACAGAGUAUUUGUAUGCUAUAUGUAUGUUAUGUGUUGUACUGCAUUAUUUCUAUGUGAUUUAUGUUGUGCAUGCUUAUAGAAAUGGAACCGGAAGGUUCCCAGAGUUGGAACCAGAGGGUUCGCAGAGUAGGGUCUACGGACCCACAGAGUUAUAGCCUCGAGUGGCUAAUAUGUGNNNNNNNNNNNNNNNNNNNNNNNNNNNNNNNNNNNNNNNNNNNNNNNNNNNNNNNNNNNNNNNNNNNNNNNNNNNNNNNNNNNNNNNNNNNNNNNNNNNNNNNNNNNNNNNNNNNNNNNNNNNNNNNNNNNNNNNNNNNNNNNNNNNNNNNNNNNNNNNNNNNNNNNNNNNNNNNNNNNNNNNNNNNNNNNNNNNNNNNNNNNNNNNNNNNNNNNNNNNNNNNNNNNNNNNNNNNNNNNNNNNNNNNNNNNNNNNNNNNNNNNNNNNNNNNNNNNNNNNNNNNNNNNNNNNNNNNNNNNNNNNNNNNNNNNNNNNNNNNNNNNNNNNNNNNNNNNNNNNNNNNNNNNNNNNNNNNNNNNNNNNNNNNNNNNNNNNNNNNNNNNNNNNNNNNNNNNNNNNNNNNNNNNNNNNNNNNNNNNNNNNNNNNNNNNNNNNNNNNNNNNNNNNNNNNNNNNNNNNNNNNNNNNNNNNNNNNNNNNNNNNNNNNNNNNNNNNNNNNNNNNNNNNNNNNNNNNNNNNNNNNNNNNNNNNNNNNNNNNNNNAGUGGCAACAUCGGAAGGGAUCCGAGUUGACCUGGGAGCCAGAGCGUGAGAUGCGGGAGCAGCAUCCGGAGCUAUUUCAGGAAUGAGACUUCGAGGGCGAAGUCAGAUUCAAGUGGGGGAGAAUUGUAACAUCCGGAAUUUCAGGUAUUAUAUUUAUUGAUUUUAUUUUGAGUUUUGUGGAAUUACUCGGCGAGUUGGUGCGUAGACUCGUCAAGCAGAGACACGAUUUCUCACCCGGAUUAAUGACCGGACUCGACGAGUCGCAUUGGUGGACUCGGCGAGUCUGCGUUGUUUAAUGAAACCCUAAUUUCUUGGGUUUGGGGGCUAUUUAAAGGGCCUUAUGGCCGUCAUUUGUGCUCACCAGUCCCCAGAGCAAAACCCUAGUGAUCUUGAGCGUUUGGAGUGAGAGAAGGAGCCAUUGUUGACCUUGGAGGUGUUAUCUAGCAAGGGAGAGGAAGCUAUAGCCAAGGGGAAACAAGAGGAUCAACUUCCUGAAGAUCUGAGGUCCAGAACAUCACGUUUGAGGUACUAUUUUCAAACCAUUUUCUGUUAAGGUGAUGUUCAUGUUGAUUUAGGGCUUAUUGAGCCCUUUUGUGGCUAGAUCUAGUGCUUCCUUGGUCCCUUAAGCGAGUUAGGUUAUGGAUCUGGACCCUUGGACGUCUGGAGUGUCCCUUUGUCCAAGCUUUUUAUGAAUCCAUGGAGGUUUUGGUUUGGGAUCUUUGUGCUUGAGGUCAAAACACCAUUUAUGAGUCAUUAGGUGUGUUAUGAGCACCAAGACAUGAUGUCACACCCAUGAACCAGACGGCGGAAACGUCCGAGGGCUAUUGUGACUCAAUUGAAUACCAUCACAAUGAAUAUACAUGAAUCAUAACAUCUUUCAUUACCAUGCAUUGAAAUAUUACAACCGGUAUUGUUUACAUUCAGUAGAUUGUUUGAAAACAUUACAUUUCCAAACAUAAGCCAUUCGAUAUUAAUUAAACAAACAUCAUGACAUCACUGGAUACAUUUUUCUUCAAUUUACUUGUUACCUGAGAAUACAAGUAUUUUGGAAAAACGUCAACAUAUGAAAUGUUGGUGAGUUCAUAAGUAAGGUUUGAAAAGAAAUGAUUUGUAUAGUUUUGAAAACCUCAUAAAAUCCGAUAUUUUCAAAAAAAAAUGUUGUAUAUGAGAAAAUGUGUGAAGAUCUGUAAGUAUGCUUGUUGAUUAUUAUAAACGUGAAUAAUUGUUAGACUUUGUAUAUAUAUAUCACAUAAUCAAGAGUGUUGAAUUUCCCAGGGAAAACCCGAUGUUUUCCCAAUACAUCAAAUUACGUGGCUUAGUUAGUAUUAUUCCGAUACGACGUUGUUUUCUAUAAUUCCAGGUGACAUUGGAUUAAUUACGGGUUGUGAGUCGUUAUAAUCACGCAUUAAUGAAAAUGACUAGUUUACAACUAUACAAACGAUCCCUUAGGCGUCGUCCGUACUACUCACUUAAUCCAACCACCCUGACUUCUCAUAGCCCCACAACCGAGGAGAAAAGAGGGUGCGAAGCCCCCGUUAUUUCCAUAAGUCGUUCAAGGCUAUUGUGAAUGCGAAAGGCACUUGGCCCGACUCGCAUUUGACUUCUUGACUUUGCUAGCAGUACCAAAGGACCCUUGGGGCCCAACAGCACUAUGAAGCUAUUGAAAGUCCUUUUACACAGAAUUAGGUCAUAUAAGGCCCAAUAACAUGUAAGCGCGUUCCCUUCGGGCCUAAAGAUCAUGUCAUUGGGCUAGCUAGGCCCAACAAGCACGAUUUGAAACUUUCGAGCCCAAAGAUGGUGUAUUGACUUCUCGUAAAUUUCCACGUGUGUAUUGAAGUAUCAUUGUUUAUUGAUUUUUGAUUCAUUAUUGAUUCGAGACCGAAUCAAUUCGUUUGCUAACGAUUUUAGUGUUGAAGGUGUAUUUAUUAUUACGUUUCGCCGGUAGACGUAGUACUCGUAUUUUUAUUUUAAGGGAUCCAUUGUUUUAAGAAUGUAAGUUUAUCUUCUUAAGCCCUUCCUCGGAUAAAAUUUACUCUUUUAACCCUUUGAGUAUAAAGAAUUUCCNGUUUAGUCCUUAAACUUUUUUUCUUGACACUUUAGUAUCAAAAACUUAUUGGAAAGACAUUUUUAGCACAAAUUUACUUGAUAAACAGCUUAAGUCCUUCAAAAAUGAAAUUUUCUCGGAUGAAACCUCCAUUUUCUCAACUUUUACAAUUUUUACCCAUAAUGGAAAAUUUUUGCAACUUUGGUCCCUUUUUAAUUGGAAAAUCAUUUUUGACCCUUGAAAUAGAUUUGGUACACUAGUAAUCCCCUGUUUUAUAGAAAUGUGCAGUUUCAGCCCCUCCAACUCAAAAUUUUCGCAAUUUGGGGCUUUAUUGGGCCGAAAAGCCCAUUUUGGCCCAUUAUGUUUAAAUUUCACAUUUUUAACCCUUCACAAGUGUUGAUAUUCAGAAAAUAAAUGUUAGAAACUAUUUAGUCUCAUCUCAACCUUCAGAAUCUAUAUUUUGUCGUUUUGGGCCCCUUAGUUUUGUAUUUUUAGCAUUUUUAGCCCAAAAAUGGGUUUUAAGUCCAAAAAUGUUCAUAUUAACCAACUUGGUUAUUUUUGUAGACUUAAUUAGUGAGAAAUGGUAUAACUUAUACUUAUUUCAUUCAUCACAUUGUAGAUCUCGGUUUUUAGGUUCUUUUGGCUAGUAUAAACAUCACAAUCACAUAAGACAUACAUAUAANCACACAAGGCAUACAUAUACUCAUAGAUCUACACAUUUGCUUGUAUUCUCCCCAACAAAACUUAUAAAACCCAAAAAAGAGGGGGUAUGAAGCUUACCUUUGGGUGUGGUUUCGGUUUUUGGAAGAAAAUGAGAAGAAUUUCGGACUUAGCAACCUUCCUUGGAAGAUUUCGAACUUGGAUGCUUCUUUGGUGCCAGAUCAUGAGUUUGAAUGAAUUAAGAGGUGAUUUUUGGAUGAAAUGAAGUAGCUCGUUUAAGGAUCUAAGAGAUUUCUUACCUUAGAUGAUGAUUUUUUUUGUGUAAAAUCCCCUUGAUUCCUUCUUAGAUCUCGAAAUAUGGAUGAGUUAUGAGAGUGUUUCCUUGAGAGAAAAGUGAGUGAAAUGUGUGUGUGUGUGUGCUUGAACUCGGCCGAGAGCAAGAGAGAGAGGGAGAAAAAGAGUAGCUAGACUUGGAAGUAUGUGAGUGCAUGGAUGUUUGAGUCUUCAUGCAUGGAUGUCCCUUGAACAAUUGUGAGGUGUCACUCACAAAGUCAACUCUCCUGUUCUUUUGGGCUUGGGCCGAGAAUGGGGAGGGUGAGAGGAGGUUUUUGGGCUUUUUUCCCUUAAGCCCAUGUUAUAGCUAGGUUGGAUGAUUUUUGGCCCUAAAAAAAAUAUACAUAUGAUUUUUAUGACCCAUUAGGUUAGAUUAGGUUAAUUAUGGUCCAAAAUGGUUCAUAUAAUUAAUCUAUCUCAUUCUAGGCCCAAUAUGGCCUAAAAUAUGGAAUUAAAUGGAAGUGGGUCCAAUUAGAGCCCAUUUAAGAGUUCUAAGCCCAAGAUAGCCAAAUUGGAAGCUUAUUGGUCCAUUGGGCCCAAUAAGGAAGUCCUAGUCCAAAAUGGACUUAAACAAGAACUUCUAGGGUUUCCAAUUGCUUAAUGACUAUUUGAAUUGCUUGCAUGGGGUGUUUGAUUGAAAUUUUUGCUAACAUAGAGUAUGCAUCAUAUAUGCUCUUAUGUUUUUGAUUCAUAAAUUGGUUUAAGUGUUGGUUACAAGGCACAAAAUUUCCUAAAUGUGACACAUGAACUUUACGUGAUAAAUAAGCUUGGAAGGCCUGGAUCUAUGAGUUAGUGGAGCAGAUCUGACCUCAGAAGGUCGUUUGGGGUUGUGCAUGGAAUGCACUCGCCGAGUCCAUUUCCAGACUCGACGAGUUGGUGCAGGUUGUUCAGUGAUUUUGAACCAGGGGUUGAGUAACCGAAUCGGGUGAGUGACUUGGUGAGUCGGAAGGGACUCAGAAGAAUUGGGUUCCCGUAAGGACUCGGCAAGUCCAUGCUAGACUCGGCGAGUUGAGUUGACCGUUGACCAUUGACUAGAGUUGACCGGUGUUGACUUGAUAGGGUUAGUCAACCUUAGUUGGGAAAGUGUUAAUUAGAGAUGUAUUGUGUUAUAGGAGGACUAUAGCUUGGGAGAUCGAGCACUAGUGAUUUUAGGGAUUUACGAGUUACCGAGAUACCCAAGGUGAGUCUUCUCACUAUACCUUACCUUGAGUAGGUAAUCAGAGUUAUGUGACAGAGUAUUUGUAUGCUAUAUGUAUGUUAUGUGCUGUACUGCAUUAUUUCUAUGUGAUUUGUGCUGUGCAUGUUUAUAGAGUUGGAACCGGAAGGUUCACAGAGAUUGAACCAGAGGGUUCACGGAGUAGGGUCCACGGACCCACAGAGUUAUAGCGUUGAGUGGCUAAUAUGUGUUAUGUGUGGUAUUUUGAGGAACUCACUAAGCUUUGUGCUUACAGUGUUUGGUGUUAUUUGUUUCAGGUACUAGUGAGGAUCGCGGGAAGGUGUCGGCCUAAUCAGUACACACACGGGAUUUUAUGUUAUGAGAUCUUGGGAUUUUUAUAUUCUACUAAUUCGAGUUUCAAAUAAUGAUGUUUUUAUGAAUAUUGAAUGAAUUGUGUUUUGUAUAAAAUGCAAAAAAUUGUUUUGAAAUUUACGGUGUUACAGCCUUGAUUAGUUUCUAUUGUAUUGAUGCCUUGUUUAUUUGUUCAAGCUUUAAAAAUCGUUUUUUGUACCCCUGAAUGAUGAACUCGGCGAGUUCCAAAGUGGACUCGGCGAGUAGCUUCAACACGGCGAGUUCAAAGUGGAAGUCGGCGAGUUCGAGCGUCAGUUAGGGCAAAUUUCGGGAUUUCUUGUUGUUUUGCUUGAGGAUACUUGCCUUAAUUGUUUUGGGUCAUUAAUAUUAAAAUUUUUAUAUAUAUAUUUGAGUAUAUCCUUGACCAAACAAAAGAUAAUUACCAUUUGAUUAAAUGAUAAUUUCCUUAUAUGAUAAUAAUUGAUUAUUUGAAUUAAAUUGGUAAAUUGCCUUGCAAAGUAAUAGUGACUAGGUCAAAUUUAGAUAAUCAUUAAAUUAAUUGUUUAAUUUAAGUGAUUUGCUAUUUGAUCCUCAAAUCACACCCUUAUGGUUUUAUUAAUUAAUUAAAGUGUAUAAUUAAAAGAGAUUUUAUGAACCCAUAAAGUUUUGGUUUACAUUUAAAUAAAUUAAAAGUAUAAUUUGCUAAAUUAAAUCACCUAGUAUUUUAAAAGUGUAAAAUACACUCUAUACUAUAUAUAUAUAUAUAUAUAUAUAUAUAUAUAUAUAUAUAUAUAUAUAUAUAUAUAUGUAACAUUAAAAGUCUAAUAUUAUAUAUAUAUAUAUAUAUAUGAGUAAACAGCCAGUCUUACCGUUAGUAGGCCUCAUUCACGAAGCUGGUCUAUAAGGGGUGUUUAAGGAAAUUGCCUAUAAAAUGGCGAUUGAAUGGGUAUCCACUCUUACCCACCGCACUCUUGACUAGUGGAGGGUCGUUAGCCGAACGGGUAGGAUAGGACAGAAACCUUCCAUUAUAAGUAUAAUGAAGUACAAAAGUAACUAAAUGCUUUUACAAAAUUCCCAAUCUUAGUUACUUUAGGCAAAAGUGAAUUGAUGCAAUUCCAUGAAAUUACACUUUGUGCCCUUGCGAAGACGUUAGUGGAGCGUGUGUGGUUAACUGGCACACUAAAUGGUUCUAAGCAAAGGUAGCGAAGGGUGACUCAUUGUUUGUCAUACUUCGGUGGAGCGUGUGUAGUUAACUGAUACAUCAAAUAGGUGAUUGUAACAUUGAGGGCACCAUGUAAGUUUGCAUGGUUAUUCACACCCUGUUUUGUGAUCCUCGGCAUCCCAGUCACAAAUCGAGGGGCAUAUCGAGAUUUAAACAUGCCAUUGAAAAGUUCAAUGAAUCUCAAAAGAUCUAGGAAUUUUCAAUGGAUUUAAUACUUAAAUUUCUUUUUCGUUUUUCAUGGUGAAAAUUAGUGAAUCGUCAUUCACUUACCUUCAAAUGUUCUGCAAUUUGGGUUACGACAUCCAACUCCCAAGUUGUAGAGUAUUGUGUUGGGUCCUAGCCUUAAUAUCUCAUUUGGGUGAUUUAUUAAGGACUCAAUCAAUCAACUAACUUGAAUUUUUCUCCUGUUUUGUAGAUGUCAAAGUAUGACAACUAUGGUCUUCCCAAAUCCCAUGGAACAAGCUUUUCACAUGAAGAUGAUAUUCCAUGAUUCGAUCGAGGAACACGAGAUCAUGCUUCACUUCCUCCACCUCCUCCUAUUGUUCUCCCUAACCCACAAGUUCAAAAGAUUGAAAAGUUCAAACUCACUCAAGCCCUUUUGGCAAGUUAACAUGAAGAAGGAAAGUCAGUGUGUGCACACGUCCUAGAGAUGAAGUCACACAUUGAUAGGUUAAGAAUGUUGGGAUCUGUUGUCUAUGAGGAGUUGGCUGUUGACUAGGUUCUUCAGUCACUUCCUGACUCAUAUAGUGAGUUCGUAAGAGAGUACUAUUUUAUGAACCACGACGUAACCCUCAUCUAUCUCACCUAUAUGCUUAUUGUUGUUGAAUCAACAAUGAUUUGGCGCAUUGGAAAAGCAAAGUUAAUUGGUGGAUCUGUAUUCCAGACCUCUAUGUAUAUAGGCAAUGGAAAUGAAAGGCAUGCCAUGAUCGAAAAGUUUGAUCAUAAGAGAAAGGCAAAGUCGGAAGUUGUUCGGUGUGUUGUUCCAAAAGAGUCAAUUUGCUUUUAUUGCCAAGAGAAGGGGCAUUGGAGACAAAGCUACCCUAUUUAUCUAAGAGAUCUAAGAGAUGGGAGAGUCAAAAUGUAUGGCUCUACUUAAGGUAAAAUCCAUUAGCUAACUCUUUUAAGUUCCUAUUCUAGAUUCUUAAUACAUGAUGUGAUAAGAUUACAUUUCGAUGUUUUGUAGGUUCAAAGAAAAGAGAGGAAACGUAAGGAAAGAAGUGAGCGGAAUCUAAUCGUGAAGAAAUGGAUUUCGAUCGCAUUACUUGAAGAUUAGAAUCUUGAGCUACUAAUCGGAGUUAGAAUAAGAUUGCUAAGAAAUAUAUAUUAACAUAGUUUUUCAAUUGAAUUGCAUUGACAAAUUUUUCCGCAAUAAAAUAAAUUUUGAUUUUAUAUUAUUUAUUUAUCCUUGCAAUGGCGUGUAUGAAAAUUUGAUGUUUGUAAGUUUCUAUUAUUAGCAAUAAUGGAUGUGAUUCUUAAUUAUGUUAUUUGUGGAAAUGUCAAGAAUUUAGCAAAUAGGGAAAGUUUCUCAUCACCCAAGUUUCAAUUGGACAGAAACAUGGAAUCAUACAACUUGGUUGCAUAAUGAAUGAGAAAUUUCAUAUUUGGAAAUUAGACUAAUUCGUUGACAAAGUGUCAAGUGAAGGAUUACGAGAUCAAGUACACAAGGUUGUGUGUUGAUCAAGUCCACCACAAGAGUGACAAAGAUAUUUGUCAUGAUUUACUAAAGGUUUAGUAAAUAUGAUUAUACUUAUAAGAUUAAGUGUAAUUCCGAGUUGAUUGAAAGAGUUUAAAUCAAUAGCAGAAGGAAUAAGAAGAAUCAAGUAGGCAGAAAGAUAAAAGUUUAUCUAUUCUAAGAAGAAGGGAGAGUACCUUUUAUUAUGUUUUAUGAUAGGUCUUAAUGAUUAAGAACCAUAUCUCAAUUGAUCCUCUAAGUGAGUUUUAGUGCAAUUGUAUGUCUGAGAAGAGGAAUCAAGAAUUGAAGAAAUGGUUAAAUCAAAAAGUCAAUCAUACUUCGUUCCAAAAACAAGUCUUAGAGUUAAUAUUUUGAAUUGAGUGACAAGUCUUAAGAAGGUUUAUAACAUACAUUAAUGUGGAAUUUGAAUAAGGUUUUCUUAUUCAUGCACAUUUGAAAUUGGAAAGUUGUGAUGUCUUGGAUAAGACAAAGACCAACUAGGACCAAUUUUGUGAAGUGUUUUGUCUUGAUAAAAGCGACACUAACUCUUGAAUAUUUGUUUGUCGAGAAAUGUUUAUUGACAAAAGAAUCUUAUAUGUCAAGGAGUCAGUGGGAGUCUUAAUGGUCUUGAAAAGUUUCAAGAUCUAAUCAAGAAUAAACCUUAUCAAUCAUCACUAGCACACGACUUGAGGUUUAUGACCUAUCGUGUUGACAUUAUUUUGUUUCUAUGCCAUUCCAAUUGAGUUAAUUAUGCGUGUGAGUUCUAUGAGUUCUCAUUUGAACACAUAAAAGGCAAACACCUUGAUCAAUGAAAAGUACAUUGAUAUGAAAGGGUGAGCUGCUUAACUACUUGGAAGACAUGGUGGGCUCUCGUGUUACCAUAAGGCAAGAAAUCAAGAUUGAGAAAGUUCAGUCCAUAUGAGUUUGGAUUUGUCGCAAACUUUGGUUUUGACAAAUUCACAUGGAUAGGAACAGAUACACCAUAAAAUCUAAGUGUCAUAAGAUUACCUCCUUCAUGAAAAUGACUGUGAGGAAAUGCUUUCACUAAGAGAGAUUUUAAGAAGAUAGUGAUUGUGAAAAUUGUAUUCUCGAAUUCGAUUAUGGUAACGGUAUCCAUUUCCAUAAUUCGAAUUGUGAGAUUUGGCAAUUAGUCUUAAUUGUUUAGACACACAUAUGAGCUAUCUAAGGCAAAGGUGUAUAAGUUUAUGAAGCUUAGAUAAAGUAUUAUCAAAGCAUUAGGUAUUAGAAAUAUGAACUUUAGAAAUUAAAUAAGUAUUGUUUUCUGGAAGUUCAGUUGUUUUCUAAAACAUGUCAAAACUAGUGGGAGCAUCAGUGUUAUGCUUAUAUGAUAAUAAUCAUCAUGAUAGUGGGAGCAUAAAUUUUGUGCUUGUAAGAUUAUUAAGGCAAGUAUUGCAAGUUAGCAAUAUUAAUUAUAGAAAACAAGAGUUAUACUUUGCAAAGUCGUAAGGGUUGAAUAGUUGUUUUGCUAUAAUUAAGGGAGAGAAUAUUAUGCUUCAUUUCAAAUCUAAAGGCUUAGGUUGUGGAAUGUUAAUAAAUUUAGUCAAGGAUACAUAGUGUGUUCUCAAAUUUCGAUUAUGAAUAUGGCAUCCCUAUUCAUAGUUCAAAUUGUGAGAACGUGGCACAUAAAAAUAUUAUGGCAAAAGAUUGAUAAAGUAUCAGAUCUUUAUGUAAGACAUUAUGGAUUGAGUUCCAUACACUUCGGGUAUAUGAUCGAUUAUAAAUGCUAUAAUAUUUGACCAUUCUUAAAUUUUCCAAGUGUCUAGCGCAUUUUGAGGGAAAAAGGACAAGAAUCGGUUUUGACUAAAAUAAUUAAAGAACCAUGAAAGGACGAUCCAAAGCUCGUUGAGGAUUGGUCGCUUGUGAGUAGUUGGAAGUAUGGUAUUGGAUGGACCAUAUCGACAUUAUUAUGAAUAGAUAAGGCUCUGUUAACAAUAAGUUGUCGUAUGGCAAAAUAUGGAAAUGUUUCCACAUUGGGAGUUGGAUAUUAAGAAUCUAUGUCUAAAUUAGAAACUUUUAUGCAGGAAGGAUGUUCAAAGGAAUGUACUUUGAGUGAGAAACAUCAUAUCUAUAGAAUUGUUUCUGAUAGAGAUUGACCAAGUCUUGAUGAUUUUGAGCUAUGACUUUAUGAAAGAAUCAUUGCAUAAAAUGUUAGAAUCUAGCAUAAGUAACAAGAAUUGAUAUUCUUAUACUUAUGAUAAGGAUUGGGAGUCCAUGGGUUGCUUAGGGCCUAUGCAGUCAAAUUAGGGUUUCCUUGUUAGAUAACCCUAAUAGCCUCACUAUUUAAAGGAUCCUUAGGACUCAAAAACGUGGUGAACUAAUUGAUUAGGGUUUCCAGCCGUUUUUGGGUGUCUCUUCUCUUCUCAUUCUUCAUCCUUUUGCUCUUGGUGUUUGUGACCCAUUGGAGGAGUGACACUUGUGACUCUAAGCUUUAUUAAGCCAUUACAAGGAGGAUUUGAGAUUGUUAUUGCUACAUAACAAUCAAGGUAAGAUCUAAACCCCAUUCUUAUGUUAAUAUGAUUAAUAGUAUGCUAGAUCUAGGGUUUAAAGUCUUGGAUGAAUUGCAUGUACAAUAGAGAAACCUAGAUCCAAGCAUUAGGGUUUGCAUGAGCACAUAGGAUGUUCUUAUUGCAAAAUCCCAUCAUGCUUAUGAUUAUGAAUUAACUGCUUUUGAUGACACUGUUGCUUAUUCUGAUAAUUUGGUUAUCUCUGCUAGUAUUGAGGCUAAGAAAUCUAGUACUCAAUUACUGGAGACACAUAAGCAGUUGGAUUUGAAGAAAAUGAGAGUAGAGUAUCUUGUAUUACAAAUAACAAACUCUUGUGUGAUAGAUAUAAUUUGAACAAUGAAGUCGGGUUGUUAAUUGCUCAAAGAAACAUUUAUUGUAACUCUGUUAAAAGGUUGUAUGCAAGAUUAACUGCCUCACAUCACUCUUCUAACAUAUGUAAAAAACAACAUAGGAAGUUAUUACCAUUCUUAUGUUUCGAUAGAGAAAAGAUUGAUUGUGUGUCCUAUGAUUGAGAAAAGACAAUAUAUGAGUAUGAUAAAGUUCCUGAUAAUAGGUUUGCUUAUGGAAUUGUGAAAAUAGAUGAAAUUUGGAUGCUAAUGAAUUAGUUGACAUUGUGAAUGAAACCUUAACCAAGAAUGAACAAAUAAAGAUUUUGAAACGAACUGAGAAUUCGAAAUCUGACUCUCAGUCUUAUUUUGCUGAUAUUGAAGAUAAUUCUGAUAAUGUUAGAAAAAUUAGUGAAAUUGAGGAAGAAGAAUACACCGAUUGUUCUCAGUUGUCUAUCAUUAAUGUCACAUUUUUGACUGAAGGCGAAGAAAAAUAUAAUGAUUCAUUGGUUAAGACUGACACUAAUCAAUUCUCAACUUCGAAAGUUUGUGAUGACGAUCAUGUAAGUGUUAGAGAGAGUCAAACUGAAAGUAGUGAUGAUGAGAAGGAUGAUAAUGAAAUUUUGAAAGAAAAAACCACAACAAAUGAUGUUUCGAAACUAAAUGAAAUUCCAAGAGUUGUUGAUCAGGUGUAUCGUGAAACAGAAAAUUUUGAAAGAGUGAUGAAAGAAAAAGGUGCUCAUUAGCUAGAAACACAUUUGGUUGUGUAUCCAAAUUUCAAAUGUACAAAUGCUGUUAUCUUUCCAAACCAUGUGUUUGUCACAAUUGGGAAUGCCAGUCACAUCAAACCUAAUUUAAACAAAUUAAUCGAAGAAGAUAAUAUGCAAACAUUGAAUGAAGGCUUCUUUUCUAACCAAAGAACGGUUGAAAACAAUCUUACCAAGAAUUCAUACACGUUUCAAAGACAAAAAGAACAAUGAAAAUCGGUUGCAAAAAUAGAAAUUUCAAAGAAACAAGUCGAUGUUGAAAUUGUGCUUUCAAAUGAUAAAAGAAAUCCAUAAGAGUUUAAAGAGAAAAUUGACAAGUUUUCAAAAGAAAAUGGAAUUUCAAAGAGACAAGCACGAAAGAAAGUUUUUUGGCAAAUUUUUUAGUCUUGAAAGAAACAAAACGAUUUGAAAAAGAAAACAACUGAAAAGGCUGUGUCUGAAAAGGUUAAGACAAUGUUUUCAUCCAGUUCAGUUAAUAAGAAAUAUCCCACUCUAUCUAAAAACAAUUUGUCUCAAUCAAAUGAUUUUUCGAAAACCAAAAUUCACGAAACAAAGUUUAUGUCACAUAAUCAUAAUCAAAAAUUUAAUGAAAAAGGAAUUUUUCAAAGCACAAUCGUUGAAGAAGUUUCAUUAUACUAAUCAAACAAGGUUUUUGAAUGAUGGUUUUUCAAAGUCAUAUCAAUCACUGAACACAUCACCAUCUUUUCAACAUCGAAGUCUAACACAACAACGUUUUGAGUUAAAGGUUGAAAAUAAAAAGUUUGAUCAAUUUUAUUCAUAACGGAAUGUUAAAUCCACACCUCAAAAACCGAAUUUUCCUAGUCAUCCUACAAAACAAGCUGUCAAAGUUUCGUAUACCAAGGGUUGAUCAAAUGUGCAAAACAUAGAUCAUUGGCUUAAAGGAAAAGGGAAAUCUUAUCAAACCGGAAAAUUCUCUCUACAACAAAUCAAAAAUGCUCCUGAGAUGUAUUUGAAUGAAAUAUCGAAUGUCAGUUCAUCAUCGAAAGAUUCGACAUCUUCAUUCAAGGCAUGGCGUCCUGUUUCGAAAGAAAGGUCAACAAAGUCACAAACUGAGAAGAAAAAGCUGAAAGUCAGUGACAAUCCUAAACUUUAAAAGUGUUGUAUUUUUGAGCCUUCAACAAUUGAAGUGGACUUAAUUGAUAGUGUUAAAUCAAAAGUUUGUAAUUGGAUUUUAGGUUCUUCAUUUCAUAUUGUGUUUCAAACUAAUCAUAAAGGACCUAAACAGCCUUGGGUACCUAAAUUCUUUCAAUGAUAGCAGGUUUUAUGUGACAAGCAAUAUGAUGAAAAAUGGUAUAUCGAUAGUCGUUGUUCUCGUCAC
RNAcentral lists this long non-coding RNA (13497 nucleotides) under Lactuca sativa (garden lettuce). Its description in RNAcentral is "long non-coding RNA (LSAT_LNC004683)". Lineage: Eukaryota; Viridiplantae; Streptophyta; Magnoliopsida; Asterales; Asteraceae. The record is from RNAcentral.